CCUACGGGAGGCAGCAGUGGGGAAUAUUGCGCAAUGGCCGCAAGGCUGACGCAGCGACGCCGCGUGUGGGAUGACGGUCUUCGGAUUGUAAACCACUGUCAGGGGGAACGAAUACCGGGCGGCGAAUAGCCGACCCGGGGUGACGGUACCUCCAAAGGAAGCACCGGCUAACUCCGUGCCAGCAGCCGCGGUAAU
Molecule: ribosomal RNA, 195 nt
Filed under: uncultured bacterium
Lineage: Bacteria
Description: partial 16S ribosomal RNA
Rfam family: Bacterial small subunit ribosomal RNA
Source: RNAcentral